UCCCAAAAAAAAAAAAAAAAAAAAAAAAAAAGAUUAGCAUGGCCCCUGCGCAAGGAUGAUAUGCAAAUUCGUGAAGCCUUCCAUAUUUUU
This 90-nucleotide small nuclear RNA is filed under the name Delphinapterus leucas (beluga whale). The record is from RNAcentral. Lineage: Eukaryota; Metazoa; Chordata; Mammalia; Artiodactyla; Monodontidae.